GAUCUACUUCCUCCGUCCAACAAAGGAUGUCUCAACUUUGACUAAAUUUGAAUGCAUUUAUACAUUAAGUCACGUCUAGAUACAUCCAAAGCUUAAGACAUCUUUUGUUGGAUGGAGGGAGUAGUGA
Molecule: non-coding RNA, 127 nt
Organism: Brachypodium distachyon (stiff brome)
Lineage: Eukaryota; Viridiplantae; Streptophyta; Magnoliopsida; Poales; Poaceae
Source: Rfam